GACGAACGCUGGCGGCGUGCCUAAUACAUGCAAGUAGAACGCACAGUUUAUACCGUAGCUUGCUACACCAUAGACUGUGAGUUGCGAACGGGUGAGUAACGCGUAGGUAACCUGCCUGGUAGCGGGGGAUAACUAUUGGAAACGAUAGCUAAUACCGCAUAAUAUUAAUUAUUGCAUGAUAAUUAAUUGAAAGGUGCAAUUGCACCACUACCAGAUGGACCUGCGUUGUAUUAGCUAGUAGGUGAGGUAACGGCUCACCUAGGCGACGAUACAUAGCCGACCUGAGAGGGUGAUCGGCCACACUGGGACUGAGACACGGCCCAGACUCCUACGGGAGGCAGCAGUAGGGAAUCUUCGGCAAUGGACGAAAGUCUGACCGAGCAACGCCGCGUGAGUGAAGAAGGUUUUCGGAUCGUAAAGCUCUGUUGUAAGAGAAGAACAGGUGUGAGAGUGGAAAGUUCACACUGUGACGGUAUCUUACCAGAAAGGGACGGCUAACUACGUG
This 505-nucleotide ribosomal RNA is filed under the name uncultured bacterium. Its description in RNAcentral is "partial 16S ribosomal RNA". It matches the Rfam family "Bacterial small subunit ribosomal RNA", at positions 28 to 507 of the family's 1533-position model. The record is from RNAcentral.